UGGGGAAUAUUGCGCAAUGUGGGAAACCCUGACGCAGCGACGCCGCGUGCGGGAUGAAGGCCUUCGGGUUGUAAACCGCUUUUGAUUGGGAGCAAGCUUUCGGGUGAGUGUACCUUUCGAAUAAGCGCCGGCUAACUACGUGCCAGCAGCCUCGGUAAUACGUAGGGCGCAAGCGUUAUCCGGAAUUAUUGGGCGUAAAGAGCUUGUAGGCGGUUCGUCGCGUCUGGUGUGAAAGCCCAUCGCUUAACGGUGGGUUUGCGCCGGGUACGGGCGGGCUAGAGUGCAGUAGGGGGGACUGGAAUUCCCGGUGUAACGGUGGAAUGUGUAGAUAUCGGGAAGAACACCAAUGGCGAAGGCAGGUCUCUGGGCUGUUACUGACGCUGAGAAGCGAAAGCGUGGGGAGCGAACAGG
Molecule: ribosomal RNA, 411 nt
Filed under: Bacteroidota bacterium
Lineage: Bacteria; Pseudomonadati; Bacteroidota
Description: Bacteroidetes bacterium partial 16S ribosomal RNA
Rfam family: Bacterial small subunit ribosomal RNA
Source: RNAcentral